Molecule: long non-coding RNA, 936 nt
Filed under: Malus domestica (apple)
Lineage: Eukaryota; Viridiplantae; Streptophyta; Magnoliopsida; Rosales; Rosaceae
Description: long non-coding RNA (MDOM_LNC009382)
Source: RNAcentral
CAUUCCAAAGUCGAAUGUGUUGGUCCCAUUGGUCCCAUUGAUCCUUAUUUAACAUAAUUUUUCACCGAUUGACCAAAAUGAUUGAUGGUGGACAAUCUCAAGAACCACUUCUAUUGAUUUCAAAUCUCAGGGACCAAAAUGAGGAGUUAGGCAAAUCUCAUUUUGGCCAAAAAGCCUUAAAAGAAUUUAAAAAAAAAAUUAACAUUCUAUUAAUAUAGCACUAGCACCCUUCUCUCUUCCAUCUUCCUCCGCCGCCUCAGUCUGCAAUACCAAAAACCAAGCAUUUUCUGACUCAGGAGUCACCUCCAUCUACACCAAAACAUCUAUCCUCCACCUAACAACCAUAUCAUGCUCCACCCUUCAUCACUCAACUAAAAUCUCGAUUUGGCACCAUCAUCUUCUGUCAUGUUGCUUCAUCAUCAUGAUUUGAGUUUUUCAUGGAUAUGCUAUUAUUUCCUUUAAUUUUUUGUUUCUUUGGUUUUUUUUUUAAAACCUCUGUGCAGAUCACUGGUUUUGGGAUUUAGCUAAUCGAGUCUUUCAGUGGCAUAUAGGGCGCUCACGACGGAGGUGGAGUCGUUGAUUCAAUGGGAAGAGGACAUGGUGGGGCCGAAUCUAGGGCGGCAAUGGUUUUUGUAGAGGGCUCGGAGGAAUCGGAGGGAGAGGAAGGCAGGGGAAAGGGUGAUGAGAAUGAGGCAUAUUUUUUAAAAAUAAAAUAUUCGUUUAUUGAUUGUAUAAAGGAAUAAACUAUUUAAAUUUAGUAGGGCAGAUGGCGUUACUUGAUUGGAAGGGAACACCACCUGCUAAUGAUGGGGUGGGGUUCAGAUUGUUCGAAAAAUUCAUCUACUCACAUUAUUAUAGGAUAGUUUGGAAUUGUGGUGCUUUUAAUAAAAACAGCUUAAUAAAAUAUCAGGAACAUUAAAUGUGUUUGGUAAAACA